GAGUGUCGGGUUAAGUCCCAUAACGAGCGCAACCCUUACUGUUAGUUGCCAGCGGGUCAAGCCGGGAACUCUAACGGGACUGCCACCGUAAGGUGAGAGGAAGGUGGGGAUGACGUCAAAUCAGCACGGCCCUUAUGUCCAGGGCUACACACGUGUUACAAUGGUCGGUACAAAGGGCAGCUACACCGCGAGGUGAUGCUAAUCUCUAAAGCCGGUCUCAGUUCGGAUCGAAGUCUGCAACCCGACUUCGUGAAGUUGGAUUCGCUAGUAAUCGCGCAUCAGCCAUGGCGCGGUGAAUACGUUCCCGGGCCUU
RNAcentral lists this ribosomal RNA (313 nucleotides) under uncultured Sphingobacteriales bacterium. RNAcentral describes it as "bacterial SSU rRNA". It matches the Rfam family "Bacterial small subunit ribosomal RNA", at positions 1070 to 1382 of the family's 1533-position model. The record is from RNAcentral. Lineage: Bacteria; Pseudomonadati; Bacteroidota; Sphingobacteriia; Sphingobacteriales.